RNAcentral lists this microRNA precursor (122 nucleotides) under Morus notabilis. Lineage: Eukaryota; Viridiplantae; Streptophyta; Magnoliopsida; Rosales; Moraceae. The record is from RNAcentral.
CAAGUAUUGUGCAGCCAAGGAUGACUUGCCGACUACUUUUUUUCUCACUUGACUAGUUUCCUUUUAAUGUUAAAGAGAGACUUUCAAGUUGGCAAGUUGUUCUUGGCUACAUAAUUCUUUCU